Molecule: ribosomal RNA, 1755 nt
Filed under: human gut metagenome
Description: bacterial LSU rRNA
Rfam family: Bacterial large subunit ribosomal RNA
Source: RNAcentral
AAGCGUAAUAGCUCACUGGUCGAGUCCUUCUGCGCGGAAGAUGUAACGGGGCUAAGCUGUUAACCGAAGCCGCGGAUGCACUGGUUAUCCAGUGCGUGGUAGGGGAGCGUUCUGUAAGCCUGCGAAGGUGGUUCGAGAGGACUGCUGGAGGUAUCAGAAGUGCGAAUGCUGACAUGAGUAACGUUAAAGCGGGUGAAAAGCCCGCUCGCCGUAAGCCCAAGGUUUCCUGCUCUACGUUCAUCGGAGCAGGGUGAGUCGGCCCCUAAGGCCAGGCUGAGAAGCGUAGUCGAUGGGAAGCAGAUUAAUAUUUCUGCACCAUGUGCAAGUGCGAUGGGGGGACGGAGUGCGAAAGAUCAUCCGGGUGUUGGAUGUCCCGGUUUGUGAGUGUAGAAGGCCGACAGGCAAAUCCGUCGGCGGAUCUUCGAGACAAAGCAUCGAGGUUCUACGGAACCGAAGUGAUCGGAAGUGCUUCCAAGAAAAGCCUCUAAGCACCAGUCUGACGCGGACCGUACCGCAAACCGACACUGGUGGGCGAGCUGAAUAUGCUCAGGCGCUUGAGAGAACUCGGGAGAAGGAACUCGGCAAAUUGACACCGUAACUUCGGGAUAAGGUGUGCCUUUGUAGCGUGAAGAGAGAAACACUCGGAGCGUGAAGAGGCCUCAGAGAAUCGGUGGCUGCAACUGUUUAUUAAAAACACAGCACUCUGCAAAGACGAAAGUCGACGUAUAGGGUGUGAUGCCUGCCCGGUGCUGGAAGAUUAAGUGAUGGGGUGAGAGCUCCUGAUCGAAGUCCCAGUAAACGGCGGCCGUAACUAUAACGGUCCUAAGGUAGCGAAAUUCCUUGUCGGGUAAGUUCCGACCUGCACGAAUGGCAUAAUGAUGGCCACACUGUCUCCUCCCGAGACUCAGUGAAGUUGAAAUGUUUGUGAUGAUGCAAUCUCCCCGCGGCUAGACGGAAAGACCCCAUGAACCUUUACUGUAGCUUUGCAUUGGACUUUGAACCGAUUUGUGUAGGAUAGGCGGGAGGCAGAGAAAGCGCAACGCCAGUUGUGCCGGAGCCGACGUUGAAAUACCGCCCUGAUUUGUUUGAGGUUCUAACCGCGACCCGUGAGCCGGGUUCGGGACCGUGCAUGGCAGGCAGUUUGACUGGGGCGGUCUCCUCCUAAAGGGUAACGGAGGAGUACAAAGGUACGCUAGGUACGGUCGGAAAUCGUGCUGAUAGUGCAAAGGCAAAAGCGUGCUUGACUGCGAGACCGACAAGUCGAGCAGAUGCGAAAGCAGGUCUUAGUGAUCCGGUGGCUCUGAAUGGAAGGGCCAUCGCUCAACGGAUAAAAGGUACUCUGGGGAUAACAGGCUGAUACCGCCCAAGAGUUCAUAUCGACGGCGGUGUUUGGCACCUCGAUGUCGGCUCAUCUCAUCCUGGGGCUGUAGCCGGUCCCAAGGGUAUGGCUGUUCGCCAUUUAAAGAGGUACGUGAGCUGGGUUUAAAACGUCGUGAGACAGUUUGGUCCCUAUCUGCCGUGGGCGCUGGAAGAUUGACGGGGGCUGCUCCUAGUACGAGAGGACCGGAGUGGACGCACCUCUGGUGUACCGGUUGUCACGCCAGUGGCAUCGCCGGGUAGCUAUGUGCGGAAGAGAUAACCGCUGAAAGCAUCUAAGCGGGAAACUUGCCUGAAGAUAAGUCUUCCCGGAGGCUAGACCUCCCUGAAGAGUCGUUCGAGACCAGGACGUUGAUAGGUCGGGUGUGUAAGCGUUGU